UUUUGUGUGAUUUUGUUGUCAGCACAUUCAACUAUGUAAAGAAAAAAGUAUUUAAUAAGAUUAUUUCAUUCAUUCAGAUCUAGGAUGUGUUGUUUAAGUGUUCCCUUUAUUUUUUUGAGCAGUAUAUUAACCUAAAUUACUGAGUGAAAAGGAAGGUUGUACAGAACAAAAAUAUUCCAAAACAUGUAUCUUGUUUGCAAUAAGGCACUAAUACAAAGUGUUAUGUUUGUGGCAAAUCAACAGAUCACUGAUAUUUUCAAACAUGGUGGUGGCUGUAUCAUGUUAUUGGUAUGCUUGUCAUUGGCAAGGAGUCGAAUAGAGCUAAGAGCAGGCGAAAACUUGGUUCAGUCUGCUUUCCAACACGCACUGGGAGACACGUUCAUCUUUCAGCAGGACAAAAAUCUAUAACAUAAGGCCAAAUAUACACUGGCUGCUUACCAAGACAACAUUGAAUGUGGCCUAGUUUUGACCUAAAUUGGUAUGAAAAUAUAUGGCAAGACUUAAAUGGCUUGAUCAAUGACCAACCAACUUGACAGAGCUUAAAGAAUUUUUUUUAUAAUAAUGUGCAAAUAUUGUACAACACAGCUGUAAUCACUUCCAAAGGUGAUUCUAACAUGCAUUGACUCAGGGGUGUGAAUACUUAUGUAAAUUAUGUUACAGGUUUUGUUUUUUCUGUUUAUAUUUCGAGGUAAUACGUUACCACGAAGGGCGCACCGAUUGGUGUAAGUACACUACAUAACCAAAGGUUCAUGGGCAUGGGGGAGCACAGGAGCAAGACUGGAGAAGUUGGAAGGCUUUAACUCCAUGUUAUGUAGUGCAGCUCUAGCAGGGCAGAAAUUUGACGAACUAACUUGUUGGAAAGGUUGCAUCCUAUGACUACCAUGUUGAAAGUCACUGAGCUAUUCAGUACGGGCCAUUCUACUGCCAAUGUUUGUCUAUGGAGAUUGCAUGGCUGUGUGCUCGAUUUUAUACACCUGUCAGUAUAACGGGUGUGGCUGAAAUAGUCAUUCUCUAAUUUGAAACAGUGUCCACAUAGACCACUCUUACAGAACGAGUGCAAGGAAACAGACAACUAAGAGAAAGGACAUUGUGACAUCUUGUGGACAAUCAGAGACUUAUACCUGAGGACGAAAAACCAGGCCAUCCGAAGUGGGCCCAACAGAGAUAGCCAACGGAGACCUUCAACAUGUAAAUACAUGCAUUGCACUUCUUACCCAUAAGAGCGGCAGUUCGGGGCAAGGUAUUAGGGCUAAACUAAGCGUAGUUUACAAAUGUAUCCAAGUCUCUCUCUCUCAAAACACGUGUCAUAUUGAGUUGGUCCGCUAGGGACCUGUUGUCAUUGUAUUAAGUUCUAAGCAAUAACCUAGACUGUGUGUAUCUUAUGUUAUCAUUUAGCUUGUUAGUAAAUAAAUCAUUAACUCAAUUUGUGUGGUACGGAAUGAUUAGUGAGACCCGGGUUUGUGCAGAUUUACGGAGUCUACAACUUUCAGAAUGAGACUGAUAUGAGGAAAUGAUUGAUUAUUGUCUGUUAUGAUAUCGAGAUAUUCGGAUAUAUUCUUGAGUUAAUUUGGGAAACAGUAACUCAUUAAACAAACUUUUCCCAUGGUGCCCCAAGUUACUAAUGAGUUAAUUGUUACAUUAUUAAUUUAAUCAUGUAAUAAUUAAACAUAGUUAAUUAUUCUAAAAAUAGCAUGUCAUCACAUGAAUGAUAGUCACGUCACGACAAGCCUGAAAAUCAAAAUGGAUUAAAUAGUUGUUUUUUCACCAUCUGCCACACCCCUAUGGAGGACCAAGACAGCCAAAAUCAAAAAUAAAUGAAUAAAUAAAUAAGUAUAUAUAUAUAUGCACGUAAAUGUCAAAAUAAAUGAAUAUACACAGAAAUAAAUAAAUAAACACAAUUUGAUAUAAAUGAGUAAUUUUGCAUUUACUUAUUUUUCCAAAAUAUCUAUUUUCCUAAUUAUUAAUUUCUGUAUUUAUUUAUUUCCCUAUUUAUUUUCUUGACCAUUUAUUCCUGUAUUUAUUUAUUUCCCUAUUUAUUUAUUUUUGCCAACUUUUAUUUCUUCAUUUAUUUAUUUAUGUAUUUAUUUAUGUAUUUUUGUCACUGUGAACAUGUCUACACGACGAGUGUCGGUGUCUGAGCUUCUUUGAGAGGCGGCUGAUCGGCUUGAAGAAAUAGAGCACUCAAGUUCAUCUGGCACUUCAUCUGGCACUGCAUCUAGCACUUCAUCUAGCACUCCAUCUGGCACUUCAUCUGGCACUCCAUCUGGCACUUCAUCUGGCACUGCAUCUGGCACUUCAUCUGGCACUGCAUCUAGCACUUCAUCUAGCACUCCAUCUGGCACUUCAUCUAGCACUCCAUCUGGCGCUUCAGGGGGUCGAGUAGGCCUACACCCUGUUGAUGGUAAUUGAGAAAGCUCACAAGAAUUUGUGGAGUUCAUCUUAACUUCGUUUCCAAAGUUGAGAGACGCGAGCGGGUUCGAGCUGCUGAAAAUUGAACAGGUCCUAACCACCCUUUUCACCCUUCAGUGCCUUCUGCACCAUGGCAAGUAUCAAGGUUCACAAUACUGUGGUUUUCAUGCAUUAAGCAUAUCCUACCUCCUUCCAUCUCUACUUCUUGCCAUUAUGUCCUCAUGCAUUUACCUUCUCUGAUAUUGACUUAUUUUUUAUUCAAUUGUUCAUCAGAAUUGUGUUCUUUGUUCCCAGGACGUCUGAGAAAACCUCCUACAUGGUGCGCACGACCCAGAAUACCCUGGAAGCCUACCGCUACAUUGACUGUGGUUCCAACUCCACGGUUCACCAGUCCCCACGCAGACCGUGGCAGUAAAACUCCCUCCCCCACCCACUACAGUCACCACCAGCCACAGUGAUGAGUGAUAGGGUCACAGGGACCAUUGGUGCUCGCCAAGGUGCUGGUAGCCAGACCACAAGAACCAAUUCAGUCCGAGCAUUUGUUUCGACUGCAGGAUUAUUAGGCUUGAUCACUUGCCUACGUCAAUGCAUAAAACAUUAGCUCUUCAGUAAAUUAUAUUUAACUGUUGUGCAUUUGACUGAUGUUCAGGGUAUGACUAAUUUACAGCCUCCUGUAGCUUCAACAUCCUUGAUUUUAGGAGUUAAUUAGUUAACCUUGACUUGAUCAUAGUAACUGGUGUUACUACUGAAUUAUGACUGUAUCCUGCUGUGCUAGUCGUUUUAUUUGUAACAUUGAGAGCAUCCUAUAACAUUUUAGGAAGGUCCUUUAGCGUGGGUUCAUGUGAUUUAAGGUGCUUGGCAUAGUAACAAUGUAUAAAGCGACUGACAUUGUGUUGCGCAAGAAGGGAGAUUUGUUCUUUGCUAUUUAUAUAGGGGACUUGACAAGACUAGUUAAGGGAUGUGCUUAAGGCAAUUUAUUGACUCCAAUGCUUCCCACAGUUGUGUCAAGUUGGCUGGUUGUCCUUUGGGUGGUGGACCAUUGUUGAUGGACAUGGGAAACUGUUGAGUGUGAAAAACCCAGCAGCGUUGCGGUUUCUGACACAAACCGUUACUCCUAGCACCUACUACCAUAGCCUGCUCAAAGGCAUUUAGAAAUGUUGUCUUGCCCAUUCACCCCCAAGCCAUAAGACUCCUGAACAUCUAGUCAAAUGGCUACCCAGACUAUUUGCAUUGACGUCUGGACGUCUGUCUGGAGGCCCAGCUUGGACAUAACUCCGUAGUGGCUUGUAAAAGGGAUCUUUGUAAUGUCAACUGCUGUGGUAUUAACCAGGUCAGGAUAACUUUAAUUACAUGAACUCACUCACUGUCCUAUUAUGUUGAGCAUCCUGCUAAUGUUGUUUACAUUCCAAAGCACACCCUCUUGUUGUCAUAGACCUACAUAGAAUAAGCUAAUGUAAUGGCUUGAAAUGUAGUUUCAGAGUUGUAUUUCGAGAACGUUAAAAAGUUGUACGUUUGUGUGGUAUUUCCAAGUUUGCGGAUUGGCUGUUUAAUUUGAAGAGUGUUAUUGCACUAAAUGGCAAUAGAGAUGGCCUGAGUGCCUGUCUGUUUGACAAUGACUGACAGGGAGUUGGCAUGAAAAUGACAGCAAUGAGUUGACAAGAGCACAAAGAUCAUGGGACGAGGCUACAAUGGAGAAAGGUGAAAUUAAAAUGGAUGAUGUGCGAUGUAAAAAAAUAACUUGAUGUAUCUUGCUUUUUAGAUAUUUUUGAAUACAUUUAUAUUUUUCAAAUGCAGAAUUCUAAAAUGGCAAAAAAUAAUUCAACUAAUAAAGAUGGUUAUUUUUUGGGA
Non-coding RNA from Salmo salar (Atlantic salmon), 4257 nucleotides. NCBI's taxonomy places the organism in Eukaryota, Metazoa, Chordata, Actinopteri, Salmoniformes, Salmonidae. The record is from RefSeq and is a predicted model, not a curated record.